This 210-nucleotide unclassified non-coding RNA is filed under the name Hevea brasiliensis (rubber tree). The record is from RNAcentral. Lineage: Eukaryota; Viridiplantae; Streptophyta; Magnoliopsida; Malpighiales; Euphorbiaceae.
GUGGUGGUGGUAGUAGUGAUGGUGAUGCUAGGGUUUCUCUAUCGCAGCAGCAUAAUGAAGAUGAAGAGGAGAGGGAAAAGCCUGCACCUCCUUGUACGGAGUUCGAUACGGCAUAUUUUAAUUCGUAUGCUCAUGUUGGCAUUCAUGAAGAGAUGAUUAAGGAUCGUGUGCGGACAGACACUUACAGGAAUGCAAUUUUUCAGCAUCAAC